AUUGAACGCUGGCGGCAUGCUUUACACAUGCAAGUCGAACGGUAACAGGUCUUUCGGGAUGCUGACGAGUGGCGAACGGGUGAGUAAUGUAUCGGAACGUGCCCAGUAGUGGGGGAUAACUACUCGAAAGAGUGGCUAAUACCGCAUGAGAUCUCUGGAUGAAAGCGGGGGACCGUAAGGCCUCGCGCUACUGGAGCGGCCGAUAUCAGAUUAGGUAGUUGGUAGGGUAAAAGCCUACCAAGCCAACGAUCUGUAGCUGGUCUGAGAGGACGACCAGCCACACUGGGACUGAGACACGGCCCAGACUCCUACGGGAGGCAGCAGUGGGGAAUUUUGGACAAUGGGCGCAAGCCUGAUCCAGCAAUGCCGCGUGCAGGACGAAGGCCUUCGGGUUGUAAACUGCUUUUGUACGGAACGAAAAGCCUCUGGUUAAUACCUAGGGGUCAUGACGGUACCGUAAGAAUAAGCACCGGCUAACUACGUGCCAGCAGCCGCGGUAAACACG
Molecule: ribosomal RNA, 505 nt
Filed under: uncultured bacterium
Lineage: Bacteria
Description: bacterial SSU rRNA
Rfam family: Bacterial small subunit ribosomal RNA
Source: RNAcentral